UAGGGAAUCUUGGACAAUGGGCGAAAGCCUGAUCCAGCCAUGCCGCGUGAGUGAAGAAGGCCCUAGGGUUGUAAAGCUCUUUUGGCGGGGACGAUAAUGACGGUACCCGCAGAAUAAGCCCCGGCUAACUUCGUGCCAGCAGCCGGGGUAAUACGAAGGGGGCUAGCGUUGUUCGGAAUUACUGGGCGUAAAGCGCACGCAGGCGGAUUGGUAAGUUAGAGGUGAAAUCCCGGGGCUCAACCUCGGAAUUGCCUUUGAUACUGCCAGUCUUGAGUGCGGGAGAGGUGAGUGGAAUUCCCAGUGUAGAGGUGAAAUUCGUAGAUAUUAGGAAGAACACCCGUGGCGAAGGCGGCUCUCUGGCCCGGUUCUGACGCUGAGGUGCGACAGCGUGGGGAGCAAACAGGAUUAGAUACCCCCGUAGUCC
This 424-nucleotide ribosomal RNA is filed under the name uncultured prokaryote. RNAcentral's name for it is "bacterial SSU rRNA". It matches the Rfam family "Bacterial small subunit ribosomal RNA", at positions 355 to 796 of the family's 1533-position model. The record is from RNAcentral.